CAGCCGCCACGGGAAUACGGAGGGGGCUAGCGUUGUUCGGAAUUACUGGGCGUAAAGCGCACGUAGGCGGCUUGGUAAGUUAGAGGUGAAAGCCUGGAGCUCAACUCCAGAAUUGCCUUUAAGACUGCCGAGCUAGCAGGUGAGAGAGGUAAGUGGAAUUCCGAGUGUAGAGGUGAAAUUCGUAGAUAUUCGGAAGAACACCAGUGGCGAAGGCGGCUUACUGGCUCAUACUGGACGCUGAGGUGCGAAAGCGUGGGGAGCAAACAGGAUUAGAUACCCCUGUAGUCCCUGUCUCUUAUAC
This 301-nucleotide ribosomal RNA is filed under the name uncultured bacterium. RNAcentral's name for it is "partial 16S ribosomal RNA". It matches the Rfam family "Bacterial small subunit ribosomal RNA", at positions 509 to 807 of the family's 1533-position model. The record is from RNAcentral.